Molecule: ribosomal RNA, 253 nt
Filed under: uncultured bacterium
Lineage: Bacteria
Description: partial 16S ribosomal RNA
Rfam family: Bacterial small subunit ribosomal RNA
Source: RNAcentral
UACGGAGGGUGCAAGCGUUAUCCGGAUUCACUGGGUUUAAAGGGUGCGUAGGUGGGCUAGUAAGUCCGUGGUGAAAUCCCCGAGCUUAACUCGGGAACUGCCGUGGAUACUAUUAGUCUUGAAUAUCGUGGAGGUAAGCGGAAUAUGUCAUGUAGCGGUGAAAUGCUUAGAUAUGACAUAGAACACCGAUAGCGGAGGCAGCUUACUACGCGAUCAUUGACACUGAGGCACGAAAGCGUGGGGAUCAAACAGG